GACUUUCAACAACGGAUCUCUUGGCUCUCGCAUCGAUGAAGAACGCAGCGAAAUGCGAUACGUAAUGUGAAUUGCAGAAUUCAGUGAAUCAUCGAAUCUUUGAACGCACCUUGCGCCCCUUGGCAUUCCGAGGGGCACACCCGUUUGAGUGUCG
This 154-nucleotide ribosomal RNA is filed under the name uncultured Russula. RNAcentral describes it as "5.8S ribosomal RNA". It matches the Rfam family "5.8S ribosomal RNA". From Rfam's summary of the family: 5.8S ribosomal RNA (5.8S rRNA) is a component of the large subunit of the eukaryotic ribosome. Lineage: Eukaryota; Fungi; Basidiomycota; Agaricomycetes; Russulales; Russulaceae. The record is from RNAcentral.